This is a small nuclear RNA of Rattus norvegicus (Norway rat), 129 nucleotides long. Ensembl annotates it as U2 spliceosomal RNA. The record is from Ensembl. NCBI's taxonomy places the organism in Eukaryota, Metazoa, Chordata, Mammalia, Rodentia, Muridae.
AUCGCUUCUCAGCCUUUUGGCUAAGAUCAAGUGUAGUAAACUGUUUGAAAAUAAGAUGUAACACGUUAUGGGUCAAAAUUAAUGGGUUAAUAAUCUAAAGCAUGUCAGAUACAUUUUAACAGAUCAUUC